GACGAACGCUGGCGGCGUGCUUAACACAUGCAAGUCGAACGGAAAGGCCCUGCUUUUGUUUGGUUCUCGAUUGGCGAACGGGUGAGUAUCACGUGUGUAUCCUGCCCUUGACUUUGUGAUAACUUCUGGAAACUGGGGCUCAUACCGGAUAGGAGCUCCUGCUGCAUGUUGGUGGUUGGAAAGUUUCGGCGGUUGGGUAUGUACUCGCAGCUUAUCCGCUUCUUUGUGGGGUAGGUGAUUUACAAGGCUUUGACGGGUAGCCGGCCUGAGAGGUGGACCGGCCACAUGGGGACUGAGAGACGGCCCAGACUGGUAUGGGAGGCAACGGUGGAGAAUCUUGCACAAUAGGCGGAAGCCUGAGGCAGAAACGUCGCGUGCGGGAUGACGGGCUAUGGGUUGUAAACCGCUUUCGCCUGUAACGAAGCGUGAGUGACGGUAAUGGGUAAAGAAGCACCGGCUAACUACGUG
RNAcentral lists this ribosomal RNA (468 nucleotides) under uncultured bacterium. RNAcentral describes it as "partial 16S ribosomal RNA". It matches the Rfam family "Bacterial small subunit ribosomal RNA", at positions 28 to 507 of the family's 1533-position model. The record is from RNAcentral.